This 421-nucleotide RNase P RNA is filed under the name Deltaproteobacteria bacterium RBG_13_43_22. RNAcentral describes it as "RNase P RNA component class A". It matches the Rfam family "Bacterial RNase P class A". Rfam says of the family: Ribonuclease P (RNase P) is a ubiquitous endoribonuclease, found in archaea, bacteria and eukarya as well as chloroplasts and mitochondria. Its best characterised activity is the generation of mature 5'-ends of tRNAs by cleaving the 5'-leader elements of precursor-tRNAs. Lineage: Bacteria; Deltaproteobacteria. The record is from RNAcentral.
GAAGUGGAUUAAAUGAUCGCUCGCCGGUUCCGGCGAGAGGAAAGUCCGAGCUCCACAGGGCAGGAUGCUGGGUAACGCCCAGUCUUGGUAACGAGAAGGAAAGUGCCACAGAAAAGAUACCGCCCCAUAUCGAGUGGCGAGUGACGACUAAAACCCCUUAAGGUUUUACUCCGAUCUCCGAACUUAAUAUCGGGGUAAGGGUGAAAUGGCGGGGUAAGAGCCCACCAGUAUCCCGGGUGACCGGGGUAGCUUGGUAAACCCCAUCCGGAGCAAGACCAAAUAGGAGGGCGAAAGGGGUGGCCCGCCCCGGACCCUCGGGUUGGUCGCUUGAGGCCGGGAGCAAUCCCGGUCCUAAGAUGAAUGAUCAUUGUCUCCGCUUUCAGGCGGGGAAACAGAACUCGGCUUACAAUCCACUUCCACG